Molecule: long non-coding RNA, 2344 nt
Filed under: Homo sapiens (human)
Lineage: Eukaryota; Metazoa; Chordata; Mammalia; Primates; Hominidae
Description: non-protein coding lnc-CBLB-9:1
Source: RNAcentral
ACUUUUAGGCUCAGAAGUACAUAUUCAGGUUUGUUGUACAGUUCUGCCCCAUGCCACUCCCCACCACCAUGAGAAAACCAAGAGGACAGGCCUCACUAGGAAAAAAAAAAUUAGCCAGUACCUUGACCUUGGACUUCCCAGCCACCAGAACUGUAAGAAAUCUCCCAGACUUCAUCCUGCUUCAGCUCCUGUCAUCCUGUGCUGUGGAAUUCCUAAACCUCUUAGCUUGAGCCCUGCAACGAUCUGAUUUUCACUCCGUUCUAGGAAGGUUCCAUUCUUCAGUGUGGAGCACAUAUAAGUAAGUGUCUAUUUUUGACUAAAAGAGAUUGCCUCUCAUAGCGAAACCUUGAUAUUGGAGAAAUGAAUGCUAAACAAACGAGCCUAGGACUUCCUGCUCCUUGUUCUUGGGCCUUCAGGUUUGAACUGGACUUAUACCACUGACUCCCUGCUUAGACUAGAACUAUAUCACCAUCUUUCCUGAGCCCCCAGCUUUCAGACAGCAGAUCAUUGGCCUUCCUAGCUUCCACGAUCAAGUUGACCAUCUGGGUGACUGUUCUCCCUUUUUCACUAAAUGCUAUGGUCUGAAUGUCUAUGCUGUCCCAAAAUUUAUAUGUUGAAAACAAAUAAUCAAUGUGAUGGUUUUAGGAGGUGGGGCCUUUGAGAGGCCAUUAUAUCAUGAAGGCAGAACACUCAGGAAUGGGGUCAGUGCCGUUAUAAAAGAUGCCCUGGAGAGACCUUUUGUCCCUUCUACCAGAUUGGAAAAGCAUUGGAAAAUUUGUCCAAAGUCACUCAACAGAUUCAUGAUGGAUCCUGGAUUCACAGCCAGCUUUACUUGGCAAUAAAAUUCAAGUCCUGUUCACAUCACAACACAUUUUUACCGAAAGAAAAAUAUGAUGUGUAGAUGUUUGGAGGCAUCCUAUCUUAAUGAGGCUUUUGUUAGAAAGAGUUUUCUUAAAAUUACAGGGUUGGGGAAAUAAAAAAUGUUUGUUGCUCAGAUUAACAAAAAAAUGGUAUAUAGAAAAUAAAGCUAAGAAAGGAAAGUGCAGACAACCAAGAGACUAGAAUUUUCAAUAAAUGGCAAAAUUGUGGUGUUCUGUGGUUACCUCUUGAAGAUUUGGCCUGAAUCAUGCAACAAUUGCCCCUUACCCUCAGUCCUCAAAUUACAAUAGUGAAAGAGGUUUCUAUAGGUAUUAUAUUUGAAUCUGCUAUAUUUUGUUUAUUACUUGCAAGGACAUAUAGGAGAGCAAAAGUUUUCCCUCUAAUUUCUUAGGUUUAGUAACUGGAACUUGUGAAUUAAACUGGCAAAAUACAGAUUAACAGGAGAAGAGUCAUAGACAUUUUAUUUUAAAUUUCAUAUGCAAUGUAGUUCCAGAGAAAAGAAGUGAAAGCCUGAAGAAGCAAUUAGACUUGAGGAGUUAUAUCUUUAACAAAGGGUGGUGAGUGUAGAGAAGUGACUAGAUUUUUUUUAAGAUGGUUUUAGGCUUCCAAGGGUGAUAAACCAUGGGAAGGAAAAUACAUGAGGGAAACUAAUGGUAUAUAGGAGUUAUUUAGUAAGGUUUGUUUACACAGACUAAUCUCAGUGGUAAGAACGGUUUUUCUCCUUUUUCUGGUCAGGGGAAGGAGAAGGGACACCAUCACAAUGGGAAUUUGUGCUUUGCUGGUAGACAAAUAGGAGCAGAGCAGAGAACUUCUUUCUCUCAAUUGUCUUCAGCUCAGAAUAAUCCUUAUGCCAAACAGGCAUAAUUUGGAAUUACAUAUUUUCAUCCUCUCCACACACAAGCUUCCGUAUAAAGUUCAAAGACAGUAGUAUUUUCUUAUAAUUCACUCUGCCCCAAAUAUUAACUAAGAUGACAUUCUUUUUCCAGCUUGAUUCUGCAACAUUCACUUCCAGAAACUUUAUCACUCUUAAUCCUGGAUUGAAGGAAAAUAUUUGAAUGUGAUAAAGGAUAUAUAUUUUAAAAAGAAAGGAACUAUAAUAAAAGGCAAGAUUCAGAAAUUAUGUUGUAAUCUGUGACUUAGUGCAAUUUAGUCCUUGAAUUUCUUGUGUGCAAUUUAUUGUUCAUUUCCCUUGGUGAACUAACUUUGGUUCAUCGCUUUAUCAUUCUUCUCCAGGCUGUUUUUGAAGGGUCUGUGAGCUGAGAAUGGUUUUUAAUAGAUAAAUGCUCACAAUCAAUUUGGGGAUAAGAAAUAUUAUUUUGAAUCUCAGUUACAAAAAAUGUUAUCCUUCAUAAAAUAAUUCAUUUUUUUCUCAGUAAUAAAAAUGUAUUUCAAAAAUAUGGUGUCCUUAUUAUAUUUUAAAUUUUGCCAAUAAAAAUAAUAAAAAUUGAUUUUCUCUAAUUAUGUA